GAAUGCCGGUGUGAGUAGCGAAAGACGGGUGAGAAUCCCGUCCACCGAUUGACUAAGGUUUCCAGAGGAAGGCUCGUCCGCUCUGGGUUAGUCGGGUCCUAAGCUGAGGCCGACAGGCGUAGGCGAUGGAUAACAGGUUGAUAUUCCUGUACCACCUAUAAUCGUUUUAAUCGAUGGGGGGACGCAGUAGGAUAGGCGAAGCGUGCGAUUGGAUUGCACGUCUAAGCAGUAAGGCUGAGUAUUAGGCAAAUCCGGUACUCGUUAAGGCUGAGCUGUGAUGGGGAGAAGACAUUGUGUCUUCGAGUCGUUGAUUUCACACUGCCGAGAAAAGCCUCUAGAUAGAAAAUAGGUGCCCGUACCGCAAACCGACACAGGUAGUCAAGAUGAGAAUUCUAAGGUGAGCGAGCGAACUCUCGUUAAGGAACUCGGCAAAAUGACCCCGUAACUUCGGGAGAAGGGGUGCUCUUUAGGGUUAACGCCCAGAAGAGCCGCAGUGAAUAGGCCCAAGCGACUGUUUAUCAAAAACACAGGUCUCUGCUAAACCGUAAGGUGAUGUAUAGGGGCUGACGCCUGCCCGGUGCUGGAAGGUUAAGAGGAGUGGUUAGCUUCUGCGAAGCUACGAAUCGAAGCCCCAGUAAACGGCGGCCGUAACUAUAACGGUCCUAAGGUAGCGAAAUUCCUUGUCGGGUAAGUUCCGACCCGCACGAAAGGCGUAACGAUUUGGGCACUGUCUCAACGAGAGACUCGGUGAAAUCAUAGUACCUGUGAAGAUGCAGGUUACCCGCGACAGGACGGAAAGACCCCGUGGAGCUUUACUGUAGCCUGAUAUUGAAAUUCGGCACAGCUUGUACAGGAUAGGUAGGAGCCUUUGAAACGUGAGCGCUAGCUUACGUGGAGGCGCUGGUGGGAUACUACCCUAGCUGUGUUGGCUUUCUAACCCGCACCACUUAUCGUGGUGGGAGACAGUGUCAGGCGGGCAGUUUGACUGGGGCGGUCGCCUCCUAAAAGGUAACGGAGGCGCUCAAAGGUUCCCUCAGAAUGGUUGGAAAUCAUUCAUAGAGUGUAAAGGCAUAAGGGAGCUUGACUGCGAGACCUACAAGUCGAGCAGGGUCGAAAGACGGACUUAGUGAUCCGGUGGUUCCGCAUGGAAGGGCCAUCGCUCAACGGAUAAAAGCUACCCCGGGGAUAACAGGCUUAUCUCCCCCAAGAGUUCACAUCGACGGGGAGGUUUGGCACCUCGAUGUCGGCUCAUCGCAUCCUGGGGCUGUAGUCGGUCCCAAGGGUUGGGCUGUUCGCCCAUUAAAGCGGUACGCGAGCUGGGUUCAGAACGUCGUGAGACAGUUCGGUCCCUAUCCGUCGUGGGCGUAGGAAAUUUGAGAGGAGCUGUCCUUAGUACGAGAGGACCGGGAUGGACAUACCUCUGGUGUACCAGUUGUCGUGCCAACGGCAUAGCUGGGUAGCUAUGUGUGGACGGGAUA
This 1478-nucleotide ribosomal RNA is filed under the name Staphylococcus aureus. RNAcentral's name for it is "partial 23S ribosomal RNA". It matches the Rfam family "Bacterial large subunit ribosomal RNA", at positions 1292 to 2766 of the family's 2925-position model. Lineage: Bacteria; Bacillati; Bacillota; Bacilli; Caryophanales; Staphylococcaceae. The record is from RNAcentral.